RNAcentral lists this transfer RNA (64 nucleotides) under Ictidomys tridecemlineatus (thirteen-lined ground squirrel). RNAcentral describes it as "Spermophilus tridecemlineatus (thirteen-lined ground squirrel) tRNA". It matches the Rfam family "tRNA". From Rfam's summary of the family: Transfer RNA (tRNA) molecules are approximately 80 nucleotides in length. Their secondary structure includes four short double-helical elements and three loops (D, anti-codon, and T loops). Further hydrogen bonds mediate the characteristic L-shaped molecular structure. tRNAs have two regions of fundamental functional importance: the anti-codon, which is responsible for specific mRNA codon recognition, and the 3' end, to which the tRNAs corresponding amino acid is attached (by aminoacyl-tRNA synthetases). tRNAs cope with the degeneracy of the genetic code in two manners: having more than one tRNA (with a specific anti-codon) for a particular amino acid; and 'wobble' base-pairing, i.e. permitting non-standard base-pairing at the 3rd anti-codon position. The record is from Rfam by way of RNAcentral. Lineage: Eukaryota; Metazoa; Chordata; Mammalia; Rodentia; Sciuridae.
GGUGGCUCAGUGGUAGAGCACUUGCCUAGCAUGCAUAAGGCACUGGGUUCAAUCCCUAGCACCA